CCUACGGGAGGCAGCAGUAGGGAAUAUUGCGCAAUGGGGGAAACUCUGAAGCAGCAACGCCGCGUGGAGGAUGAAGGUUUUCGGAUUGUAAACUCCUGUUGUUAGAGAAGAUAAUGACGGUAUCUAACGAAUAAGCACCGGCUAACUCCGUGCCAGCAGCCGCGGUAAUACGGAGGGUGCAAGCGUUAUCCGGAAUCACUGGGCGUAAAGAGCGCGUAGGCGGGAUAGCAAGUCAGAUGUGAAAUCCUAUGGCUUAACCAUAGAACUGCAUCUGAAACUGUUAUUCUAGAGUAUUGGAGAGGUAGGUGGAAUUCUUGGUGUAGGGGUAAAAUCCGUAGAGAUUAAGAGGAAUACUCGUUGCGAAGGCGACCUGCUAGAACAUAACUGACGCUGAUGCGCGAAAGCGUGGGGAGCAAACAGGAUUAGAUACCCCAGUAGUC
Molecule: ribosomal RNA, 440 nt
Filed under: uncultured bacterium
Lineage: Bacteria
Description: partial 16S ribosomal RNA
Rfam family: Bacterial small subunit ribosomal RNA
Source: RNAcentral